This 57-nucleotide transfer RNA is filed under the name Docophoroides brevis. RNAcentral's name for it is "tRNA-His". Lineage: Eukaryota; Metazoa; Arthropoda; Insecta; Psocodea; Philopteridae. The record is from RNAcentral.
UCUAUAAUAGUUUAUACAAAACGUUAGUUUGUGGUACUAAAGAAAAGUUUUAUAGAA